CUUCGCAGCAUGCACGACUCUCCAGCAUUAUUUCUUGGAUUGACUUCUCGGUUUCGACUCCUGUCUGUCUCUGACCACGUCGUAUCGUCUCAGCCCUUGGAUCCCCUGUCAAGUUUCUUCGCUCUGGUGAGAACUUCAGGUUUUGCUGUGUUACUGGCUUCCCGACCUACUGCCUGUCCACGACUAUCCUUCCGUCUGAUCCCUCUGGAAUUAUUCUGCCCCGCUGAUUGUCUGCCUGGAUUCGACAUUGCCUCCGCAUCGACCACGAGCCCAGCCUGCCCCUCGACAGUGCCGCUGCACUUCACAAAGACUCUCAGGUGUAGUGUGUUUUCUGUGUGCACUCACCUUUCUGCCUGUUGGACCUGUUUCCUGUGGAUCAGUUUACUGUUGAUCUUGGAGAUUCUACAGAGACUGCUAAAUCAAUCCCAGUAUCUUCAGUUACCUGUUUGCUGUGAACUAUUGCAAUAAAAGUAGCUUCUAAACAACUACCUGCCGUUGUGCUGCACUUGGGUCCUAAUUCCACACCCCUGACACAUAUAUUUCAAAAUUUCCCAUGCUAUUUGUCCCCUGCCUUCUUUAAGUCACUGAAUUCUCAUAUCUCUUGCUAUAUUUCGAAAAACAGACACCAGAGUUAAUGUUCUCUCUACUUAUUAAGCCAAGGGAUCUGGGAGGCCUGUUUCUGCCCAACUUACAACUAUGUUAUUGGUCAGCCCAACUUAAAAUUAUGUCAAAUUGGUUUAUGAACAGGAAAGAUGUUUUAUGGUUGGGUCUUGAAUCCCUUUGUUGCUAUCCCAGAAGGGUUGGCUUGCUUCCUUUUAUAAAUGACAUGGAUCAUUUAAAUCACCUCAAGAACAACAUCAUUGUUUAUAACAAACUACGGGUUUGAAGAGAUGUGAAAAAAUACUUCAAUAUUUGCCCUGUCUUCUCUUUCCAUUCUCCCUUGGCUUUGAAUCCAGAUUAACCAGCACAAAUUAGGAGUAUUGGUGUGACGGAUUGGUCAUCUAAGGGCCUGUCAAACUUAUCAGACCUAUUGGUCUCUGAUUCUAUUAAGUCAUUUGAUCAAAUCAUGGCAGAUUUUAUUAUUCCCCACAAAGAUUUUUAUAAAUAUCUCCAAAUUCAUCAUUUUAUAGGGUCUCUUAUUAUAGUGAGUAAUAGAUUACUCAACUUUGGAUGAGUAAUCAUCCAAAGGACUCAUUUCCAACAUUUUAUACUUCACUACUUUCUUCUGGUUCUUCAGGUUGUGACUCUCUGAAGCGUGAUCUGGAGGUGAUGUUUAGUUGUGACUGGGAAAAGAUUUGCAGUGGGGUUUUCCCUAAAUGUAAUUCAAUUUCUAUACAUGAACAGAACAUGAAACUCUUUCACCAAAAUUAUACAACAUCUGUUUGCCUCCAGAUGAUGUUCCCUGGCACCUCAACAUUUUUUUUUUAAAUGUAAGAUGCAGAGAAGGUACAUUUAUUCACCUGCUUUGGUCAUGUGACAGCAUCAUUUGCAUUUGAAAAUGAAAAUCCAUUGGCCGCUGUGACAACCCCUCCCACUCUUCCUCCUCUUUCUCCCCUUGCAAUUGUCUCACUCUGCUCUUUGUUUCAGCCUCAGGGAGACCCUGGAGGACGGAGCUAGGAGGGGCUGAGUUACCUGCCCAGCAGGGCAGGGCCAAAAGGGAAAAAAGGCCUGGCUGCAUGACUGUUAGCUCUCUCUCAGCAAGGCCUGCAUCUGCCACUCCAGCUAUCACUUUUGUGGUUUUAAUCAUCCAACAUCCACCAUACACAUGACACACACAUUUGCUGACAUGAC
This 1791-nucleotide long non-coding RNA is filed under the name Xyrichtys novacula (pearly razorfish). The record is from RNAcentral. Lineage: Eukaryota; Metazoa; Chordata; Actinopteri; Labriformes; Labridae.